AUUGAACGCUGGCGGCAUGCCUUACACAUGCAAGUCGAACGGCAGCACGGGAGCAAUCCUGGUGGCGAGUGGCGAACGGGUGAGUAAUAUAUCGGAACGUGCCCAGUCGUGGGGGAGUAACGUAGCGAAAGACUACGCUAAUACCGCAUACGAUCUAUGGAUGAAAGCGGGGGAGUCGCAAGACCUCGCGCGAUUGGAGCGGCCGAUAUCAGAUUAGGUAGUUGGUGGGGUAAAGGCCUACCAAGCCUUCGAUCUGUAGCUGGUCUGAGAGGACGACCAGCCACACUGGAACUGAGACACGGUCCAGACUCCUACGGGAGGCAGCAGU
RNAcentral lists this ribosomal RNA (328 nucleotides) under uncultured bacterium. RNAcentral's name for it is "bacterial SSU rRNA". It matches the Rfam family "Bacterial small subunit ribosomal RNA", at positions 30 to 355 of the family's 1533-position model. The record is from RNAcentral.